Long non-coding RNA from Sapajus apella (tufted capuchin), 1308 nucleotides. RefSeq lists it as uncharacterized. The transcript has 3 exons. NCBI's taxonomy places the organism in Eukaryota, Metazoa, Chordata, Mammalia, Primates, Cebidae. The record is from RefSeq and is a predicted model, not a curated record.
GGAGAUACUUGAGCCACAAGGACUGGAUUCUCUGUGGUAACAAUUGUGAACUUUUCCAGCAGCAGUUGGAGUUCUGGGGCAGUGUAUUUUUCUGUGCAGCCCACACACAGCUCAGUGUGUUCCUUUUGUAAACAGGUUGGAUUGUCAGCUUAAAGCAUUUUGUCAUUAAAAUGAAAGAAUCUGAACUGCCUUUGGGUCUACUAAAGAUCUUAACAUUUACCCCAGAAUGAACUUGUUUUAACGUAAUAAACCUUGGGCGCCAAUCCUGAUGCCUCCAAUGACAUCAGUGUGUGUGGACUGGAGCUUUGAAUUCAGCAGGCAAAAUGGGGAUCUCUGAAGAAAAAGUCGGGAGAGUGACUUUAGUGGAGCAGAAGUCGAAGGUGGUGUUAGGGCGGUUUCCGCUCCGGCACUCCCCCUCCUCUCUCCACCCCCUCACCCCACUCCCUUGCUUUUUCUUUUCAAAUCAAGUAAAAACAAACAUCUAAAAAUGUUUGACUAGAUGAGGAGACUCAGGAGAAAUGCUUGCUGAACACAUGCUGUGUUUGCCUAUCAUAUCUUCCUUAUAUUUUAAUACAAUUCAGUAAAAACAGCAAUAACUCAGUGCUUCCUUAAUGUUCAGCACAAAUGCCUUGGUUGUUAUAAAAAAAUGGUUGCCUGAGACACAGCCCCAGUCACCGGGAUGGCCGAGUGGUUAAGGCGUUGGACUUAAGAUCCAAUGGGCUAGUGCCCGCGUGGGUUCGAACCCCACUCUCGGUAGGCGAAGUUUUUAUCUCCAGACUCCUUUAAUACCGGCAUUUAAAAAGUACUCGAAGGUGACUUCAUUGUUUUUCUACCCCUUUGCAUAAACACUACUGUUUUCUUGUCUUCAAAUCUAAGGAAAUUGCCUCAAUAGGCAGUAGUGUGUGAAUGGUUUUCUACCACAACCUAUUAGAUGGAAACACCGCUCACAUCCAUAGCUCACAUCCAUGGUCUGUUCCAGGACUUUCAAUUCCACCAGGAAUUGAACCUGUGAGGAUAUUUGAUCCCAAGGUCACAGCUUUGUUUCUUAGUGCCCAGUAUAGUGCCUGGUCUAUAGUAAAUAUGUCUUGAAGAUUGUUCCAGAUGCAGAAUUGGAAAGUGUGGAGACUGAAUAAUAACAAGAGCCAACUUGUAAAAAAAUUUACUACAUGCAAGGCACAUUCAGAUACUAGGGGACAAGUUACAGAGCCUGAAUCAUUCUGGAAGAAAUAUGACUUGACGAAGAAAUGUGGCUGGACUGAGAGAUACAGAGUCUCCCUGUGUCACCCUGACUGGAGUGCAGUGGCACGA